Long non-coding RNA from Cheilinus undulatus (humphead wrasse), 615 nucleotides. RefSeq lists it as uncharacterized. NCBI's taxonomy places the organism in Eukaryota, Metazoa, Chordata, Actinopteri, Labriformes, Labridae. The transcript is spliced from 3 exons. The record is from RefSeq and is a predicted model, not a curated record.
CACAACUUCUAGUCAGGUGACCUGGCUCCUCUUCAACCUUUAAAUCGAGUGAUUUUUGACACUAACAAAAGAGGCAGAAUGGAGAACGGUGGUGCAGGGUUUCCAGGAGAAGUGGCAGUUCCCUCAUUUCCUUGGAGCCAUAGAUGGGAAACAAAUAUACAUCCAGCCUCCAGAUAACUCUGGAAGUACCUUCCACAAUUAUGACGAGCUUUUCUGCAGUUCUCAUGGCAAUAGUAGACGCGAGCUACAAGUUCAUACAUGCCAGUGUUUCAGAUGCAGGGCUGUUCAGCCAGUCAGAGCUCUGCACUGCCAUGUUUGCUGAAUUACCAGAGCCCCUGCUGGACACCACGACAAACAUGCCUUCUGUCUUCAUUGGUGAUGAGGCAUCCCUCUCCGGACUGACCUGAUGUAACCAUACCCCUGCUGGAACCUGGACCAUGGACAUGCCUCCAGAAGCCGUCAGUGCUAGCCCAAUCUCUGCCACGCUGCCUCACUCCCUCCCUGGAUUCACUCACCAGCCUCUUCCCUCUUCGCCUCAUGUCUGGAGCCCUCACGCCCUUGGAUUCCCCUCGCACCCUUAACCCCAAAUUCUCCCCUCCUUCCACUGCCUGUGUC